This 151-nucleotide ribosomal RNA is filed under the name Leucobryum madagassum. Its description in RNAcentral is "partial 26S rRNA". It matches the Rfam family "Eukaryotic large subunit ribosomal RNA", at positions 1 to 151 of the family's 3401-position model. The record is from RNAcentral. Lineage: Eukaryota; Viridiplantae; Streptophyta; Bryopsida; Dicranales; Leucobryaceae.
AGACCUCUGAUCAGAAAAGAGUACCCGCUGAGUUUAAGCAUAUCACUAAGCGGAGGAGAAGAAACUAACCAGGAUUUCCCUAGUAACGGCGAGCGAACCGGAAAGAGCCCAGCUUGAAAAUCGCGGCGCUGCGCGCCGCGAGUUGUAGUCU